Molecule: long non-coding RNA, 464 nt
Filed under: Dasypus novemcinctus (nine-banded armadillo)
Lineage: Eukaryota; Metazoa; Chordata; Mammalia; Cingulata; Dasypodidae
Description: lncRNA (ENSDNOG00000050388.1)
Source: RNAcentral
GAGGCGCUUACUAACACUGCCAGGCUCUGAGCAGUCAUGGGGAAUGGACAGUCGCUGUGAUUUAGGAUCAUACCAUAUAAUAAGUGCAUGCCCCUGUAAAUAAACCAAUGACUUGUGAGCACUGUAAAAGAGAACAGGAUCUGGACCCGCAGAGGGACACUCGUCGAAGACUGCAGAGUUUUGAUCAGCUCUUUCUUAGUCUGGAGUGGAAGGCCCUGAGAGAUUUAUCAAAGUGGAUUUCUGUAUCAAGAAUAGUAAUAUUUCAAGUUCUUAUUGAAGUGUGAGCAGUAACUGGCACUUUCACAAGCGAGAAAGAGGCCAAUGUCAGCUAUGACGAAUAAAAUAAAAGGUAAAAUGAAAGUCAUCCAGUGUUAGGCUUAGCCCUAAUGAAAACAAAAUGAAAAGCUUGGAUUUAGACAGAGGUCUUUAUCUUGGGAAUUCUGCCUUUUAACCAGAGUUAGGAC